This 497-nucleotide ribosomal RNA is filed under the name uncultured bacterium. RNAcentral's name for it is "partial 16S ribosomal RNA". It matches the Rfam family "Bacterial small subunit ribosomal RNA", at positions 28 to 507 of the family's 1533-position model. The record is from RNAcentral.
GAUGAACGCUGGCGGCGUGCCUAAUACAUGCAAGUCGAGCGAACGGACGAGAAGCUUGCUCCUCUGACGUUAGCGGCGGACGGGUGAGUAACACGUGGAUAACCUACCUAUAAGACUGGGAUAACUUCGGGAAACCGGAGCUAAUACCGGAUAAUAUAUUGAACCGCAUGGUUCAAUAGUGAAAGACGGUCUUGCUGUCACUUAUAGAUGGAUCCGCGCUGCAUUAGCUAGUUGGUAAGGUAACGGCUUACCAAGGCAACGAUGCGUAGCCGACCUGAGAGGGUGAUCGGCCACACUGGAACUGAGACACGGUCCAGACUCCUACGGGAGGCAGCAGUAGGGAAUCUUCCGCAAUGGGCGAAAGCCUGACGGAGCAACGCCGCGUGAGUGAUGAAGGUCUUCGGAUCGUAAAACUCUGUUAUUAGGGAAGAACAAAUGUGUAAGUAACUAUGCACGUCUUGACGGUACCUAAUCAGAAAGCCACGGCUAACUACGUG